AGGAAGUUUUAAGAACAUUAGCAGCAAGGAGAAUACAAGAGAAAGAUAUCAAAAAGUUAAUUUAAAGACCAUAUGGAGUGUGAGCCACUACCCCCGGCCCCUUCCAACUUAUUUUAUUGUUCUUAUGAAAUACACUAUUAAAGAUCUUAAUAAGUGAGGUCGAACCUUGCAAAAAUUAUAAUACUCAGUUAUUCUGCCUUUAAAAAAUGGCACUACCCAACUGUUCUUGACUUAGAGAAAAAUAGUAUUUUGACAUGAUUUAAUCUCAUACAUGGUGACUCCAAGUAAAGUGAGUGUUUUGAAUUACAACCUCAAACAGAUUAUUUUAACUUGGCCUAAGUCAAGUUUAUAUUUCAGAAUUUAAAAAAUUCCCCUUUCAUAUUAAUUCUUUUUACUUUCUGGUAAUAUUACACUUUGCUAUUACCAGAAAAACCAUAUAUCAAAUUAUUUGGUGCUUCAUGGUCUCUGUGCCUAAGGCAAAUUGUCCCAUCAACAGUGCUUCUCAUAUUGGGGAAUAUAUCUAUGAAUUGGAUUGAUGGCCAGUGAUAUUUUUUGAUACAAGUAGCAUCCUGAUGAUACUGAGUUACUUCUGUAGCAUGGUAAUCUUCCCUUUUAUAGAUUUUUACUGUGGGUGCUAUUCCUAGGAAAUAAUAACAAAAAAAAAAAUCAGUUUCUGUAUUUUUAUUAAAAGUAGUUAAGUGCCUAUCAUUAAAUGAGUUACUUAUAUAUGAGGUCUGCAGUUGUUAGAAAUAGUUGUAGAAAACUUUAUACUCUUAGUGAUCUCUGUUACUUUUCACAUUUUUCUUAAAAAUAAAAUAAAUAACUGGGCUGGGUGGAGUGGCUCAUGUCUGCAACCCUACCACUUCGGGAGGCUGAGGCAAAAGGAUUGCUCCAGCUCAGGAGUUCAAGACUAGCCUGGGCAACAUAGCAAAACUUUGUUUCUGUUUAAAAAAUAAGUAAGUAGAAUAACUUUUACAGGAAUUAUUUCUUUUAUAAAGUAUCUAUGAAACAACAAUUCUAAUUGAUUCUUUUCUGUGUGUGUGUAUUUUUCUAUUUCCAGUUACAGCAACCCCAGCAAACCCUUUUAACACAGCCAGCUGUUGCACUGCCUACAAGCCUUAGCCUGUCUACUCCUCAGCCUACAGCACAAAUAACUGUAUCAUAUCCAACACCAAGGUCCAGUCAACAGCAAACCCAGCCUCAGAAGCAGCGUGUUUUCACAGGGGUGGUUACAAAACUACAUGACACAUUUGGAUUUGUGGAUGAAGAUGUAUUCUUUCAGCUUAGGUAAACUUAAUUAGGUCUUGUCACAUGGAACAUAUUUAUUUUAUAACAAAUACAUGGCUUCUUGUGUUUAUCUUAAAACACCUGUUUAGUUGUGGCAAAGAUUAUAAUUUAGCUAUAAUUUUCCUUUCUUUUCUUUUCUGAGACAGAGUCUCGCUAUUUAGCCUAGGCUGGACAUAGUCGCACAAUCUUGGUCGGCUCACUGCAGCCUCUGCCUCCUGGGUUCAAGCAAUUUUCUUGCCUCAGCCUUCAGAAUAGCUGGGAUGACUGGCGUGCACCACCGCACUGAGCUAACUUUCGUGUCUUUAGUAGAGAACAGGGGAUUUCACCGUGUCGGCCAGGCUGGUCUCAAACUCCUGACCUCAAGUGAUCUACCUGCCUUAGUCUCCCAAAGUGCUGGAAUUACAGGCUUGAGCCACUGCGCCGGUC
Molecule: long non-coding RNA, 1713 nt
Organism: Sapajus apella (tufted capuchin)
Lineage: Eukaryota; Metazoa; Chordata; Mammalia; Primates; Cebidae
Exons: 3
Source: RefSeq, a predicted model, not a curated record